AACCAUUCUCACCUGCGGCUAGACCUGCGGAAGGAUCAUUACCGAGUUAUACAACUCAUCAACCCCUGUGAACUUACCUACAACGUUGCUUCGGCGGGAACAGACGGCCCCGUAAAACGGGCCGCCCCCGCCAGAGGACCCCUAACUCUGUUUUUAUAAUGUUUUUCUGAGUAAACAAGCAAAUAAAUUAAAACUUUUAACAAUGGAUCU
RNAcentral lists this unclassified non-coding RNA (210 nucleotides) under soil metagenome. RNAcentral's name for it is "partial contains 5.8S ribosomal RNA, internal transcribed spacer 2, and large subunit ribosomal RNA". The record is from RNAcentral.